UCGUAACAAGGUCUCCGUUGGUGAACCAGCGGAGGGAUCAUUACAGAGUGUAAAAACUCCCAAACCCUUUGUGAACAUACCACUGUUGCCUCGGCGGAGCUACCCGGUAGCUAUCCUGUAGCUACCCUGUAGCCGCCGGCGGCCCAUCAAACUCUGAUUAUGUAGAUAUCUGAGCGUACUUUUAAAUAAGUCAAAACUUUCAACAACGGAUCUCUUGGUUCUGGCAUCGAUGAAGAACGCAGCGAAAUGCGAUAAGUAAUGUGAAUUGCAGAAUUCAGUGAAUCAUCGAAUCUUUGAACGCACAUUGCGCCCAUUAGUACUCUAGUGGGCAUGCCUGUUCGAGCGUCAUUACGACCCUUAAGCCUAGCUUAGUAUUGGGAACCUACGUGCGGCGGCUACCCUGUAGCCGCCCUGUAGCUCCUUAAAGACAACGGCGGAGACGUGGAGUCCUCUGAGCUUAGUAACUUUUUCUAGCUUCUGAAGGCCCCGCGGCCCCUGCCGCAAAACCCCAACUUUUAGUGGUUGACCUCGGAUCAGGUAGGAAUACCCGCUGAACUUAAGCAUAUCAAU
This 570-nucleotide ribosomal RNA is filed under the name Ascomycota sp. ARIZ PAOak1-10. RNAcentral describes it as "eukaryotic LSU rRNA". The stretch from base 195 to 348 matches the Rfam family "5.8S ribosomal RNA". The record is from RNAcentral. RNAcentral also lists the same sequence under 1 other name. Lineage: Eukaryota; Fungi; Ascomycota.